UGGGGAAUCUUAGACAAUGGGGGCAACCCUGAUCUAGCCAUGCCGCGUGAGUGACGAAGGUCUUAGGAUCGUAAAGCUCUUUCGCCGGGGAAGAUAAUGACGGUACCCGGUAAAGAAGUCCCGGCUAACUCCGUGCCAGCAGCCGCGGUAAUACGUAGGGGGCGAGCGUUGUCCGGAAUUAUUGGGCGUAAAGAGCGUGUAGGCGGCCUGGUAAGUCUGCCGUGAAAACCUGGGGCUCAACCCUGGGCGUGCGGUGGAUACUGCUAGGCUAGAGGAUGGUAGAGGCGAGUGGAAUUCCCGGUGUAGCGGUGAAAUGCGCAGAUAUCGGGAGGAACACCAGUAGCGAAGGCGGCUCGCUGGGCCAUUCCUGACGCUGAGACGCGAAAGCGUGGGGAGCAAACAGGAUUAGAUACCCCCGUAGUCC
RNAcentral lists this ribosomal RNA (424 nucleotides) under uncultured prokaryote. RNAcentral's name for it is "bacterial SSU rRNA". It matches the Rfam family "Bacterial small subunit ribosomal RNA", at positions 355 to 796 of the family's 1533-position model. The record is from RNAcentral.